GCUGGGCGUGGUGGCACACGCCUGUAAUCCCAGCUACUUGGGAGGCUGAGGCAGGAGAAUCGCUUGAACCCGGGAGGCAGAGGUUGCAGUGAGCUGAGAUCGUGCCCCUGCACUCUAGCCUGGGUGACAGAGCGAGACUCUGUCUCAA
RNAcentral lists this small RNA (148 nucleotides) under Papio anubis (olive baboon). RNAcentral describes it as "Metazoan signal recognition particle RNA (ENSPANG00000045225.1)". Lineage: Eukaryota; Metazoa; Chordata; Mammalia; Primates; Cercopithecidae. The record is from Rfam by way of RNAcentral.